GCCAGACUCCUACGGGAGGCAGCAGUGGGGGAUAUUGCACAAUGGGGGGAACCCUGAUGCAGCGACGCCGCGUGGGUGAAGGAGUGCUUCGGCAUGUAAAGCCCUCUCGGCAGGGAAGAAGCAAGACGGUACCUGACUAAGAAGCCCCGGCUAACUACGUGCCAGCAGCCGCGGUAAUACGUAGGGGGCGAGCGUUGUCCGGAAUUACUGGGUGUAAAGGGAGCGUAGGCGGGACUGCAAGUUGGGUGUCAAAUCUGCCGGCUCAACCGGUAGCCGCACUCAAAACUGCAGUUCUUGAGUGAAGUAGAGGCAGGCGGAAUUCCUAGUGUAGCGGUGAAAUGCGUAGAUAUUAGGAGGAACACCAGUGGCGAAGGCGGCCUGCUGGGCUUUUACCGACGCUGAGGCUCGAAGGUGUGGGGAGCAAACAGGAUUAGAUACCCCUGUA
Molecule: ribosomal RNA, 445 nt
Filed under: uncultured bacterium
Lineage: Bacteria
Description: bacterial SSU rRNA
Rfam family: Bacterial small subunit ribosomal RNA
Source: RNAcentral